Molecule: unclassified non-coding RNA, 329 nt
Filed under: soil metagenome
Description: partial contains 5.8S ribosomal RNA, internal transcribed spacer 2, and large subunit ribosomal RNA
Rfam family: 5.8S ribosomal RNA (bases 1-120)
Source: RNAcentral
GAUGAAGAACGCAGCGAAAUGCGAUAAGUAAUGUGAAUUGCAGAAUUCAGUGAGUCAUCGAAUCUUUGAACGCACAUUGCGCCCCUUGGUAUUCCGAGGGGCAUGCCUGUUCGAGCGUCAUUAUAACCCCUCAAGCUCAGCUUGGUGUUGGGGCCUGCUGCACUGGCAGCCCUUAAAAUCAGUGGCGGCGCCAUCUGGCUCUAAGCGUAGUAAUUCUUCUCGCUAUGGAGUCCUGGUGGAUGCUUGCCAUCAACCCCCAAUUUUUCUAUGGUUGACCUCGGAUCAGGUAGGGAUACCCGCUGAACUUAAGCAUAUCAAUAAGCGGAGGA